RNAcentral lists this ribosomal RNA (378 nucleotides) under uncultured eukaryote. RNAcentral describes it as "partial 18S ribosomal RNA". It matches the Rfam family "Eukaryotic small subunit ribosomal RNA", at positions 592 to 976 of the family's 1831-position model. The record is from RNAcentral.
CAAUAGCGUAUAUUAAAGUUGUUGCAGUUAAAAAGCUCGUAGUUGGAUUUCUGAUGAGAGUACGGGUCGGCCUUAACGGGUUGCACUGUUGUUACGUCUCGUCGUUUCGAGGGGAAUGGGUUCGCUAUUAGGUUAGUGGGCUCGGGAACCUUGUCGUUUACUGUGAAAAAUUAGAGUGUUCAAAGCAGGCCUUUGCUGUGAAUACAUUAGCAUGGAAUAAUAAGAUAGGACUGUAGUGCUAUUUUGUUGGUUUGCGUACUAUGGUAAUGAUUAAUAGGGAUAGUUGGGGGUAUUCAUAUUCAAUUGUCAGAGGUGAAAUUCUUGGAUUUAUGGAAGAUGAACUACUGCGAAAGCAUUUACCAAGGAUGUUUUCAUUAA